ACUGAACGUGGGCUGCACUGAGAGGUGUCCGUGCUGUUCCCUUUUCCUAGGGCUUUGUGCCAUGAUCGCGCUGGCCGUGUUCACAGGGGAAGUAGCUAAGGCCAUGAAUGUCCCGUCGGGCCAAGUCUCCUUCGGCUGGUCCUUCGGCCUCGGCUGGGCCUCCUUCCCCCUCUUCCUCAUCACUGGUGCAGUGAUGAUGUUCACCCAGAAACCCCCCUCGAGCUGAGCCUGGGGCCGCGCUGCCCGGGGGGGCCAGAUGCAGCCUGCCGUGUCACGGGGCCAAUUCCCUCAACAGCCCCGACAG
Molecule: long non-coding RNA, 304 nt
Filed under: Chrysemys picta bellii (western painted turtle)
Lineage: Eukaryota; Metazoa; Chordata; Testudines; Emydidae
Description: lncRNA (ENSCPBG00000003763.1)
Source: RNAcentral